This 460-nucleotide ribosomal RNA is filed under the name uncultured bacterium. RNAcentral describes it as "partial 16S ribosomal RNA". It matches the Rfam family "Bacterial small subunit ribosomal RNA", at positions 338 to 795 of the family's 1533-position model. The record is from RNAcentral.
CCUACGGGUGGCAGCAGUGAGGAAUAUUGGUCAAUGGGCGGGAGCCUGAACCAGCCAAGCCGCGUGAGGGAAGAAGGUACAGCGUAUCGUAAACCUCUUUUGUCAGGGAACAAAGGCGGGGACUAGUCCCCGGAUGAGGGUACCUGAGGAAUAAGCCACGGCUAACUACGUGCCAGCAGCCGCGGUAAUACGUAGGUGGCAAGCGUUAUCCGGAUUUAUUGGGUGUAAAGUGCGUGUAGGCGGGAGCGCAAGUCAGAUGUGAAAACUCAGGGCUCAACCCUGAGCCUGCAUUUGAAACUGUGUUUCUUGAGUGCUGGAGAGGCAAUCGGAAUUCCGUGUGUAGCGGUGAAAUGCGUAGAUAUACGGAGGAACACCAGUGGCGAAGGCGGAUUGCUGGACAGUAACUGACGCUGAGGCGCGAAAGCGUGGGGAGCAAACAGGAUUAGAUACCCCAGUAGUC